This is an RNA transcript of Sus scrofa (pig), 7475 nucleotides long. It is a transcript of the gene named HEAT repeat containing 5B, with no coding region annotated. The record is from RefSeq and is a predicted model, not a curated record. NCBI's taxonomy places the organism in Eukaryota, Metazoa, Chordata, Mammalia, Artiodactyla, Suidae.
AGCUUUCCGCGCAAGCGCUCUUUCCCCGCUUCCGGCUGGUCUGGGAGCGGGAGGCGGGGCAUCCGGGUCCUUUGGAAGCGGCUUCUGGCUCUGGACCUCAGCUGACCUGCCCCUGCUAGACUAGGAGGUGUGAAUUUAAAGCUUCAGUAAUGGAGUUAGCCCACAGUUUAUUGCUGAAUGAAGAAGCUUUGGCUCAAAUCACUGAAGCAAAGAGACCAGUUUUUAUUUUUGAAUGGUUGAGGUUUCUUGAUAAAGUUUUGGUUGCUGCCAACAAGACUGAUGUAAAGGAAAAACAGAAAAAACUUGUUGAACAAUUAACUGGAUUAAUAAGUAGUUCACCUGGACCACCUACGCGAAAACUGUUGGCUAAAAAUCUUGCAGCCCUUUAUAGCAUUGGGGAUACUUUCACUGUUUUUCAAACACUCGACAAAUGUAAUGACAUUAUCAGAAAUAAAGAUGACACUGCAGCCUACUUACCAACGAAACUGGCUGCGGUGGCUUGUGUUGGAGCAUUUUAUGAAAAAAUGGGGAGAAUGUUGGGCAGUGCGUUUCCAGAAACAGUAAAUAAUCUUUUGAAAUCUCUAAAAAGUGCAGAGUCUCAAGGGCGAAGUGAAAUCUUAAUGAGUCUACAGAAAGUUCUGAAUGGACUGGGUGGUGCAGCAGCUUCCUGUCAUCGUGAUAUUUACAAGAAUGCCAGGUCCCUCUUAACUGACAGGUCAAUGGCUGUUCGAUGUGCGGUUGCCAAGUGUCUCCUAGAACUACAGAAUGAAGCUGUAUUCAUGUGGACUGCUGAACUGGAAAAUAUAGCCACUCUCUGCUUUAAGGCUUUGGAAAAUUCAAACUAUGGGGUACGAGUGGCAGUGUCUAAACUCUUAGGAACAGUCAUGGCUACAGCCUUGAUGCCAAAACAAGCAACAGUAAUGCGCCAGAAUGUGAAGCGAGCAACAUUUGAUGAAGUCUUAGAACUCAUGGCCACAGGAUUUCUCCGCGGAGGGUCAGGUUUCUUAAAGAGUGGUGGAGAAAUGUUAAAAGUUGGAGGGUCUGUUAAUCGUGAAGUGAGAGUCGGAGUUACACAGGCAUAUGUUGUUUUUGUAACAACAUUGGGUGGUCAGUGGUUGGAGCGUAGCUUCGCUACAUUCUUGUCCCAUGUACUUGAUCUGGUUUCCCAUCCUCGAGCAACGCAAACACAUGUAGAGGCUGUGUACUCCAGACGCUGUGUCUCCUUUAUCCUGAGAGCUACUGUGGGCAGCUUGCUAGGUGAAAAAGCCCAGAUUGCAGCUGCCAAAGAGAUAUGUCAAGCGAUUGGAAAACAGAUGAAAGCAGUGGAAGCGGUGGUGAAUGACACUAGUGGUGAAAACAAAUCUGGAGCAGCAGACAUCGCAGCAAGCCAGCAUGUAAUGGUCUGUGCCCUGCAGGAGCUCGGGAGCCUGGUGCAGAGCCUAAAUGCCACUGCGUCCCCUCUUAUUCAGGAAGCAUCUAUAGGCCUUUUGGAGACUGUGACUUCAGUGCUUCUUCACCCAAGCAUGGCAGCUCGACUUGCUGCUGCGUGGUGUUUGCGCUGUGUGGCUGUGGCAUUGCCUUUCCAGUUAACACCAUUUCUAGACAAGUGUGCAGAACGGCUCAACAACUUGAAAACUUCACCAGAAGCUGUUAGUGGGUACAGUUUUGCAAUGGCUGCUUUGUUAGGUGGAGUUCAUCAGUGUCCUUUGGGCAUUCCUCAUGCCAAGGGAAAGAUGGUAGUUAGUAUUGCUGAAGAUCUCUUACGAACCGCUGCCCAAAAUAGCAGACUGUCUUUACAGCGCACUCAAGCUGGAUGGCUCUUACUUGGAGCACUUAUGACUUUAGGACCAUCUGUCGUUCGUUAUCAUCUGCCCAAGAUGUUGUUAUUGUGGCGAAAUGUUUUUCCUCGUUCUUUAAAGGAGUUGGAGGCUGAGAAAGCCCGAGGCGAUUCAUUUACCUGGCAGGUAACAUUGGAAGGUCGUGCUGGAGCUUUAUGUGCAAUGAGAAGUUUUGUUGCACAUUGUCCUGAACUCCUAACAGAAGAUGUGAUUAGAAAAUUGAUGACCCCUAUUGAAUGUGCCAUGACUAUGAUGUCACACAUUCCAUCUGUAAUUAAAACCCAUGGAGCUCAUCUGAAAGCUAGUGCUGCAAUGGUCCGAUUAAGACUUUAUGAUAUCUUAGCUUUGUUACCUCCAAAAACUUAUGAAGGAUCUUUCAAUGCACUUCUUAGAGAACUGGUAGCAGAAUUCACUUUGACUGACAACUCAGCCAAUACAACUACUUCGCUGCUCAGAUCCCUCUGCCACUAUGAUGAUAGCGUUCUUCUUGGUUCCUGGCUUCAAGAAACUGAUCAUAAGUCAAUUGAAGACCAGCUCCAGCCAAACAGUGCAUCUGGAAGUGGGGCUCUGGAGCAUGAUCCAUCUUCCAUUUAUUUACGAAUACCUGCUGGAGAAGCUGUGCCUGGGCCUCUUCCUCUUGGAGUUUCAGUCAUUGAUGCCUCUGUGGCUCUUUUUGGUGUAGUGUUUCCUCAUGUUUCUUAUAAACACCGAUUACAAAUGUUGGAUCACUUUGCAGAAUGUGUUAAACAAGCCAAGGGUGUUCGCCAGCAGGCUGUGCAGCUUAAUAUCUUUACAGCUGUUCUCAGUGCACUAAAGGGCUUGGCUGAAAACAAAAGUACCUUAGGACCUGAGGAAGUUCGUAAAUCUGCUCUGACACUGGUUAUGGGGGCUCUUGACAACCCAAACCCCAUCUUACGAUGUGCAGCAGGGGAGGCUCUUGGAAGAAUGGCUCAGGUGGUUGGAGAAGCAACUUUUAUUGCUAGAAUGGCCCAAUACAGCUUUGACAAAUUGAAAUCAGCUCGAGAUGUUGUAUCCAGAACUGGCCAUUCAUUGGCUCUGGGUUGUUUGCAUCGUUAUGUUGGUGGUAUUGGCUCAGGACAACAUCUGAAGACCAGUGUCAGCAUUUUAUUGGCUCUAGCACAGGAUGGAACAUCCUCUGAAGUACAGACUUGGUCUCUUCAUUCACUUGCUUUGAUAGUGGAUUCCAGUGGCCCAAUGUAUCGGAGCUAUGUGGAGCCAACAUUAUCUCUAGUUCUUACCUUGCUGUUGACAGUUCCACCUUCACAUACAGAAGUUCAUCAGUGUUUGGGUAGAUGCUUGGGUGCUAUAAUAACUACUGUUGGCCCUGAACUACAAGGAAAUGGAGCAACAAUUUCCACAAUCCGUUCUUCUUGUUUGGUGGGUUGUGCAAUAACCCAGGACCAUUCAGAUUCCCUCGUCCAGGCAGCUGCUAUAUCUUGCCUUCAGCAGCUUCACAUGUUUGCACCUCGACACGUCAAUCUAUCUAGCCUCGUUCCUAGCCUUUGUGUUCACUUAUGUAGCUCCCAUUUGUUACUUCGACGAGCCGCUGUGGCAUGUCUCCGGCAGCUUGCACAAAGAGAAGCAGCUGAAGUAUGUGAAUAUGCCAUGAGCCUAGCAAAAAAUGCAGGAGACAAAGAGAGCAGUGGUGCUAGUGUCAGUCCUUUUGCACCUGGCGUGAGUUCUCGAAGUGAUAUCCAUUGCCGGCACCAAGGUGUUAAUAUAACAGAAACUGGUCUUGAGGGACUUCUUUUUGGAAUGCUAGACCGGGAAACGGAUCGAAAAUUGUGUUCUGAUAUUCAUGAUACUUUGGGACAUAUGCUUUCAUCGCUGGCUGUAGAAAAACUUUCGCAUUGGCUAAUGCUUUGUAAAGAUGUCCUAGCAGCUUCUAGUGAUAUGAGUACCGCAACUCCCUUAAGUAGUGGAAAAGAUGAAGAAUUUGAAAAGAAAGAUGAGAUGGACGAUGAUACCAUGUUUACCACACUAGGAGAAGAAGAUAAAUCAAAGCCCUUUGUGGCACCUCGCUGGGCCACUCGAGUAUUUGCUGCUGAUUGCCUGUGUCGAAUCAUCAAUUUGUGUGAGAAUGCUGAUCAGGCCCACUUUGAUCUUGCCAUGGCACGUUCUGCUAAACUACGAAAUCCUACAAAUGACCUCUUGGUACUUCAUCUCUCUGACCUGAUUCGUAUGGCAUUCAUGGCGGCAACAGAUCACAGUAACCAGUUGCGGAUGGCCGGUCUCCAAGCACUUGAAGAUAUUAUCAAGAAGUUUGCGUCUGUGCCUGAGCCAGAAUUUCCAGGUCAUGUGAUUCUGGAGCAGUAUCAAGCUAAUGUGGGAGCUGCUCUAAGACCAGCCUUUUCCCAAGAUACCCCAUCAGACAUAAUAGCAAAAGCUUGCCAGGUAUGCAGUACAUGGAUUGGAAGUGGAGUUGUCAGUGAUCUCAAUGAUCUCCGUCGAGUACACAACCUGCUUGUUUCUUCUCUGGACAAAGUUCAGGCCGGAAAAGGGUCUUCUAGCCAGCUGUACCGAGAGAGUGCCACAACCAUGGAAAAACUGGCCGUUCUCAAAGCUUGGGCAGAGGUAUAUGUGGUUGCUAUGAAUAUUAAAAAGGAAGCUGACUCAAAGCCAAAAAGAGCAAAUAAAAACACUGAUGAUGAUGAUGAUGAUUAUAGUACCAUCGAUGAACUACCCCCGGAUAGUUUAAUAACACUCGUACAACCUGAACUGCCAACACUCAGUCGCCUGUGGUUGGCAGCAUUAAAAGACUAUGCACUUUUAACUUUACCAGCUGAAUUUGCUAGUCAGCUACCCCCAGAUGGUGGAGCAUUUUAUACUCCUGAAACUAUUGAUACAGCUAGACUUCACUAUCGGAAUUCCUGGGCCCCAAUUCUCCAUGCAGUGGCACUUUGGUUAAAUAGCACAGGAUUUACAUGUUCAGAAUCUGCAGAAGCAGCAGCAGUAUCAGGUUUACAAAAACGUUCUACACCCGUCAAUUUAAACCAAGCAUCAGAAUCAACUCCCAGUGCAAAAUCAUUGCCAGAAAUUAACAAAGACAGAAUGCAUCUGAUUUUAGGUGUGAGUAUACAAUUCCUUUGUUCCCCAAGACCUGAGGAGCCUGUUGAACAUGUUACGGCAUGUCUGCAGGCUUUGCACACCUUGCUAGAUUCUCCUUAUGCCCGAAUCCAUAUUGCAGAAGAUCAGCUGAUUGGUGUUGAGUUGCUGAGUGUUCUGCACCGUUUGCUCUUGACCUGGAAUCCACCAUCUGUCCAGCUGCUAGUGACUGGUGUUGUACAACAGAUAGUAAGAGCUGCUCAGGAUUAUUUGCAAGAAAAAAGAAACACACUAAAUGAAGAUGAUAUGGAAAAAGAGUCCGGUCCUGUUUUAGGAGAAGGAGGUGACAGUGGUGGUCUCAUUCCUGGAAAGUCUCUUGUGUUUGCAACCAUGGAGCUAUUGAUGUUCAUCCUAGUACGGCACAUGCCGCAUCUCAGUACCAAGAUGUCAGACUCUCCGAGUCACACAGCCGCUAAAACUCGACUGUCAGAAGAAAGUUCUCGUCUGGUGGCAGCCACAGUUAGCAUACUCUCUGACUUACCAUCCCUUUGUUCACCAGCUGGUACAGUAUUGACCACUGUUUGGAAAUUUAUUAUACUGUAUUAGUAAUGAGCUUGCCUUUGAAUCUGAAUACUUUUAUGACUUAGUUCCUCUUAAAUCUUAAGGGAAAAAUAGGUCUUCAUAAGGGUUUUUUGUUUUUUGUUUUUUUUUCUUACCUUUGGGAGCCUAUGAAGACUAAAAAUUUAAAAUACCAAAAGCCCAAAAUGCUCUUUUCAGAUAUAUUUCAAACAAACUUCAGCAAAGAGAUAGAACCAUAGCUUGAGGAAAGACGUUAAAUGUUAAUAGAUAGACAUAAAGUGGAAUUACUGAACCCUUUAUUUUCUGGUCUGGUUGAUGCUCUUGAGGAAUACUGACAAACUGACAAAUGUCAGAGGAUGGUGACAACCUACUUGAAGGAGCAACUAAAGAAAUUGUCGCUAAAAAAGAUAAUAGCUUUCUGCAGACACCUGAAGAACUAUUGGAUGGAAAAGUAGCCUUUCCCUCUGUUGUAUCUAGAAGGUGGAGAUAGUAUCAGGAGAUAUAAAGGAUGUAUGACAAUCCUGCCCACGAUUCUGUUUUUAAUUGCAAGAAUAUUGAAAGACACAGCAAUAAAGUCUGCAGAUAAUCAGGUUCCUCCACCAGUCAGUGCAGCUCUUCAAGGGAUCAAAAGUAUUGUGACACUUUCAAUGGCCAAAACCGAGGAAACUCAGAAACAGUGGACAGCUCUAAUUCGUAGUACUCUUGCAUGCAUCCUAGAAUAUUCUCAACCAGAAGAUUCUAUGCCUAUGCCUGAUGAAGUAAGCAUGCUAACAGCAAUUGCACUCUUCCUGUGGUCUGCUGGAAGUGAAAUAAUAGGAGUCCAGUCACUGCAGAAUGGCUGCAUGAAUAGAUUUAAAAAUGCAUUAAAUUCAUGUGAUCCAUGGGUUCAAGCCAAAUGUUACCAGCUUCUCCUCUCGGUCUUUCAACAUUCCAACCGUGCCCUUUCAACUCCCUAUAUCCAUACAUUAGCUCCAAUCGUGGUUGAAAAGCUAAAAGCUGUUGAAAGAAAUAGACCAGCCAAUAAUACAGAACUUUUAGCUGUUCAAGAAGGAAUCAAAGUUCUUGAAACUUUGGUUACUCUUGGGGAAGAACAGAACAGAGUCCAAUUACUUGCUCUUUUAGUUCCCACUUUGAUCUCAUACCUACUGGAUGAAAAGUCUUUUGCCUUAGCAAGCACAACUUCCAAAGAUCUUCAUGAGUUUGCACUCCAGAAUUUAAUGCAUAUUGGACCUCUGUAUCCACAUGCUUUCAAGACAGUAAUGGGAGCAGCUCCGGAGUUGAAAGUACAUUUGGAAACUGCUGUUCGAGCAAGCCAAGCUAGCAAAGCUAAAGCAGCUGCCAGGCAGCCAGCCCCGACUGUGCAUUCCGCACCAACAAUUAAGCUAAAAACAAGUUUUUUUUAACUUGCUGUCCCAUUCAUUUUGUUUAUAUUGUCAACUAGCAACUAAUUAGUGAUAGCCAUUGUAUCAUUCCAUGCUGUAAGUUUAAUUCUAUUUGUGUUUUUGGAAUUAGAUGCUUCCAAGGAGGUUAAGUGAAAUAAUGCUCACACUGGUUUCUGAUCUUGAAGGAAUGACUUUCUUUUUUAUCAUGUGAAUGUGCUUCAUUUUCUUCCCUAAUAAUGAUUCUCUUUCAUUAAUAUAUUUUUUUAAACACUGAGCCAUAGUCUUUUAAAUUAAAUGCAAAAAAGUUGUAUCAUGUAGUUGGGUGCCUGUUGAUACUGUCAGGGAAGAAAUAGGUCAGUAUUUAGCAUCUGUUAUGCAAAAAAUUGAUUGAAAAAAACCUAUAAUUUAAAUUUUGAAGUAACCAAAAUAAUGCAAAGUGUCUAUUUCAUGGUGUGUAUAUUAAGAAUAAAGUCACAUUUUCUUAGCACUUCUCGGAAUAUCCUUACCUUUCUGAUAAACCUUUUUAGUUUCAUGUUAGAUUACUAAAUUAUGCUUGUGUCUAUUUUAGUUAACUCUCAUGUAAAGAUCCAUUAAAGUGUUUCAAAUGUGG